UACGGAGGGGGCGAGCGUUAUUCGGAAUUAUUGGGCGUAAAGGGCGCGUAGGUGCGCUGGGCAAGUCAAAGGUGAAAUCCCUCGGCUCAACUGAGGAACUGCCUUUGAAACUGCCUGGCUUGAGGCCGGGAGGGGGUAGCGGAAUUCCCAGUGUAGCGGUGAAAUGCGUAGAUAUUGGGAGGAACACCAGUGGCGAAGGCGGCUACCUGGACCGGUUCUGACGCUGAUGCGCGAAAGCGUGGGUAGCAAACAGG
This 254-nucleotide ribosomal RNA is filed under the name uncultured bacterium. RNAcentral describes it as "partial 16S ribosomal RNA". It matches the Rfam family "Bacterial small subunit ribosomal RNA", at positions 524 to 776 of the family's 1533-position model. The record is from RNAcentral.